RNAcentral lists this ribosomal RNA (713 nucleotides) under uncultured archaeon. RNAcentral describes it as "bacterial SSU rRNA". It matches the Rfam family "Archaeal small subunit ribosomal RNA", at positions 325 to 996 of the family's 1478-position model. The record is from RNAcentral.
ACGGGGUGCAGCAGGCGCGAAAACUUCACAAUGUGGGAAACCACGAUGAGGGGAGUCCAAGUGCAUGCGCAUAGCGUAUGCUGUUCGAUUGCCUAAAAAGCAGCCGAAGGAAGGGCUGGGUAAGACAGGUGCCAGCCGCCGCGGUAAUACCUGCAGCCCGAGUGGUGGUCGAUAUUAUUGAGCCUAAAGCGUCCGUAGCCGGUCUAGUAAACCUUUGGGUAAAUCGGGCAGCUUAACUGUCCGAAUUCCGAGGGGACUGCUAGACUUGGGACCGGGAGAGGUCAGAGGUACUCCGGGGGUAGGGGCUAAAUGCAUGUCAGUGAAUAUCUUGAAUAUAGCUGGCAUGAUUAGCAUUCCUGUAAUCCUCGGGGGACCACCAGUGGCGAAGGCGUCCGACUAGAACGGAUCCGACGGUAAGGGACGAAACCCUGGGUCGCAAACCGGAUUAGAUACCCGGGUAGUCCAGGGCGUAAACGCUGCAGGCUUGGUGUUGGGGAUCCUACGGGGAUGCCCAGUGCCGGAGUGAAGAUGUUAAGCCUGCCGCUUGGGGAGUACGUCCGCAAGGAUGAAACUUAAAGGAAUUGGCGGGAGAGCACUGCAACGGGAGGAGCGUGCGGUUCAAUUGGAUUCAACGCCGGAAAACUCACCGGGAGCGACGAUUACAUGAAGGUCAGGCUGAUGACCUUACCUGAUUUUUCGAGAGGUGGUGCAUG